GCUGUGGCGCAUCAUUCCAUGCAUGAGCACAGAGAUGAUUAAAAGCUGCGGUGUCCUCGCAUGACUCCAGAGAAUGUUCUCUGCUCUUGCUUUCAUUUUAGUUCCAUUCUGCUUGCAGCGCGUUCUGUCUGCAAAUAGUUAGACAACAAUAAAUGGAGUGUGCCGUCACCAGAGGAGUGCGUGUCCUUUUUAAACCACAGGGCGCACCGUGUGAUGGAAUUAGCCAAUAAAAGACAGACAGCAGCAUUUAUAUUGAGGGACCAGGAAGCGGUGUCUUAACUUUUAUCUCUGCAAAGAAUCCACCCAAGGACGUUGCAGUGCUUCAACAAAGAUGAUGCAUUUGCUUUUGAAGCCUGAUUAGAGUUGUCUGUGACAACCAGGUCAUCAUGUGUGAAGGCCACCCACAGAAAAAAAAAAAAAAGACCUCACAAAAGAGCGCCACUUCAUCUUAUGUCUGAAUUUAUUACCUCUCACUGGAUGCCUAUUUUUCACCCGCACGACUGGAGCCAUCGCAUCUAUGAUGGAGUGGGCUUCCAGCGACUCUGAUGACUCAUUUGCCCCACAGACGUCAUCCUAUUCAAGGCAGGUGACUUUGGAGUCUUGCGCGACAUCAUUAGAGUGCCUUCCUUGAAUGCUUUGAAAUACACUCAGUUGCCACAAGAUUCAAUUUACAAUGCAAUCAGCUCCAAAAGAUACAUCAAACAUUUUGCUGUGACAAAUAUCAUUUACAUACGGCAUGCAAAAAAACAAAAACAAAAUAGGGCUCAUAUUGUCACCAAAAUUAAUGUGCAUCUCUAACUCAUGCUCACUUCAACCUCUACAAAUAUUAAAAUAAUUGUUCUAAUAUUUUGGAUCUUAUGGAGUAAAACUGGAUUUUUAAUCUGGAUUGGAUCAGGAUUGUGCACUUGAAGCAAUGUAAACAGAACAUGAAACAUCCAUUCAGACUGUCCUCAUCAGGAUCGCAGGCGAGUUGGACAAACAAGCAAUCACUUUCCCAUUGACACAGAUGAACAAUCCUGAAUCAACCUAAUCAGCAUUUUUUGGAAUGUGGUGAAAACUGGACUAACCAGACAAAUUUAUGCUAGGUUGGAGUUGAGAUUCAAACCUGCUACCUUUUACCCAUGAGGCAUAGAGACAGAGACGAGCACUAAACCACAUUCUUCCCCAUUAAACAUAUCCAGAUGUCACAGUCUGAGCUCAUCUGAUUUGUUAUACAGCACCUUGUGGGAUCUAAUCAUCUUUGUGAAGGCAGAACUUUUACCACAACAGUGUUUACCCUCAUCACAUUGACUUUUAUGUCCCCGGGAGCUGCGAACAAAGAAGCUGCUUCUAAUUCCGUCCUUCAUAAUAUUUGUCUCGGCUGCGUCCUCUUAGUCACUGUGCAUAUUUUUCACUCCUCCAAUCAAGCGGAGUGGGAAUUGACUGUGCUGAUCUAGUCCGCUGUGAUCAUCCUCAUCAUCUCCAGAUGGGAGAAGGCUUCCCAUGUGUCCUGCCACGCAGUUCACUGAGGCCGGUUGCCAUGGAGGAAACUCCCAAGUCUGGGAUGCUACUUAUAGUGUCACUCUGUGGGAGUUUAUUUACUUACUAUACAGACUGUGCAUUGGCGGAGGAGAAUCUGCUCACUUGGCUCUGUAUGACAUAGAAUCAUUAUGUAAUUACAGUAUGAGCUUGUUUUCCCACCCACUAUCUUUAGCAGUGGUCACAAACUUAUUUCACCAAAAUUAGCGUCUGCUAUCAGCAGAAGAAACUUUUAAUUUUUGAAAAUUUCAUCUUGGAGGAUUAGUUUUGACUCAGAAAGCCCCCCUACCCUUAAUCCCCUCCACCCCCAAUACUUUGGAUAUAAGACUAUAAAUGGUUGUGUUACCGUGGCAACACAUAUGGUCUGUCUGGACGAUGUCAAGAUUUAAUUUUACCCUGCUAAUGACUUCUCAGUAUACUUGUGUCCAUUUUCUACCACGGUUUCAUCUGUGGGCGUUGUUUGCGCUUGGUAAUGUGGUGCACGCAACCCUGGACUUUUGACAAGACCCUGUUGCAUUUAGAGACGACGUGCUACGCUCGUUCAUUUCCAUCCUGUCCGAAUGCAGCAGUGGUGUAAUUUUAGCACAUAAUGAAAAUUAAAAAAAACAUAAUUUUCUCCUCCGAUGACCGCUCUUGUUACAAAAAGAACAUGCCUGGAUUGUUCUCAAGUGUGCAAGAAGUGUU
This is a long non-coding RNA of Syngnathus acus (greater pipefish), 2202 nucleotides long. RefSeq lists it as uncharacterized. The record is from RefSeq and is a predicted model, not a curated record. NCBI's taxonomy places the organism in Eukaryota, Metazoa, Chordata, Actinopteri, Syngnathiformes, Syngnathidae. The transcript has 2 exons.